RNAcentral lists this ribosomal RNA (497 nucleotides) under uncultured bacterium. RNAcentral's name for it is "partial 16S ribosomal RNA". It matches the Rfam family "Bacterial small subunit ribosomal RNA", at positions 28 to 507 of the family's 1533-position model. The record is from RNAcentral.
GAUGAACGCUGGCGGCGUGCCUAAUACAUGCAAGUCGAGCGAACGGACGAGAAGCUUGCUUCUCUGUUGUUAGCGGCGGACGGGUGAGUAACACGUGGAUAACCUACCUAUAAGACUGGGAUCACCUCGGGAAACCGGAGCUAAUACCGGAUGAUCUUUUGAACCGCAUGGUUCAAAAGUGAAAGACGGUCUUGCUGUCACUUAUAGCUGGAUCUGCGCUGCAUUAGCUGGUUGGUACGGUAAAGGCUUACCAGGGCAACGAUGCGUAGCCGACGUGAGGGGGGGAUAGGCCACACGGGAGCGGGGACACGGUCCAGGCGCCUACGGGAGGGAGCAGAAGGGAAUCUGCCGCAGUGGGCGAGAGCCUUACAGAGCAACGCCGCGUGAGUGGUGAAGGUCUUCGGAGCGUAAAGCUCUGUUAUUAGGUAAGAACAGAUGUGUAAGGAACUGUGCACAUCUUGACGGUACCUAGUCAGAAAGCCACGGCUAACUACGUG